RNAcentral lists this ribosomal RNA (870 nucleotides) under uncultured bacterium. RNAcentral describes it as "bacterial SSU rRNA". It matches the Rfam family "Bacterial small subunit ribosomal RNA", at positions 32 to 896 of the family's 1533-position model. The record is from RNAcentral.
AACGCUGGCGGAAUGCUUUACACAUGCAAGUCGAACGGCAGCACGGACUUCGGUCUGGUGGCGAGCGGCGAACGGGUGAGUAAUAUAUCGGAACGUAUCCAAUAAUGGGGGAUAACUAAUCGAAAGGUUGGCUAAUACCGCAUACGCCCUACGGGGGAAAGCUAGGGACCUUCGGGCCUGGCGUUAAUGGAGCGGCUGAUAUCUGAUUAGCUAGUAGGUGAGGUAAAGGCUCACCUAGGCGACGAUCAGUAGCUGGUCUGAGAGGACGACCAGCCACACUGGAACUGAGACACGGUCCAGACUCCUACGGGAGGCAGCAGUGGGGAAUUUUGGACAAUGGGCGAAAGCCUGAUCCAGCCAUUCCGCGUGAGUGAAGAAGGCCUUCGGGUUGUAAAGCUCUUUCGCAAGGGAAGAAAACUUAGGCGCUAAUAUCGCUUGAGGUUGACGGUACCUUGAUAAGAAGCACCGGCUAACUACGUGCCAGCAGCCGCGGUAAUACGUAGGGUGCGAGCGUUAAUCGGAAUUACUGGGCGUAAAGCGUGCGCAGGCGGUUUUGUAAGUCAGAUGUGAAAUCCCCGAGCUCAACUUGGGAACUGCGUUUGAAACUACAAGACUAGAAUAUGUCAGAGGGGGGUAGAAUUCCACGUGUAGCAGUGAAAUGCGUAGAGAUGUGGAGGAAUACCAAUGGCGAAGGCAGCCCCCUGGGAUAAUAUUGACGCUCAUGCACGAAAGCGUGGGGAGCAAACAGGAUUAGAUACCCUGGUAGUCCACGCCCUAAACGAUGUCUACUAGUUGUUGGUGGAGUAAAAUCCAUGAGUAACGCAGCUAACGCGUGAAGUAGACCGCCUGGGGAGUACGGUCGCAAGAUUA